GACGAAGGUGGCAAGCGUUGUUCGGAAUCACUGGGCAUAAAGCGCACGUAGGCGGCUAAGUAAGUCGGAUGUGAAAUACCUCGGCUCAACCGAGGAACUGCGUCCGAUACUGCUUGGCUUGAGGUCCGGAGGGGAGAGUGGAAUUCCCGGUGGAGCGGUGAAAUGCGUAGAGAUCGGGAAGAACGCCGGCGGCGAAAGCGACUCUCUGGUCGGAAUCUGACGCCGAGGUGCGAAAGCUAGGGGAGCAAACGGG
RNAcentral lists this ribosomal RNA (253 nucleotides) under uncultured bacterium. Its description in RNAcentral is "partial 16S ribosomal RNA". It matches the Rfam family "Bacterial small subunit ribosomal RNA", at positions 524 to 776 of the family's 1533-position model. The record is from RNAcentral.